UAGGCGCACGGGUGAGUAACACGUGACUAACCUACCCUCGAGUGGGGAAUAACCUAGAGAAAUCUGGGCUAAUACCGCAUAACACUUACGAGUCAAAGCAGCAAUGCGCUUGAGGAGGGGGUCGCGGCAGAUUAGCUAGUUGGCGGGGUAAUGGCCCACCAAGGCAAUGAUCUGUAUCCGGCCUGAGAGGGCGCACGGACACACUGGAACUGAAACACGGUCCAG
RNAcentral lists this ribosomal RNA (225 nucleotides) under uncultured bacterium. RNAcentral describes it as "partial 16S ribosomal RNA". It matches the Rfam family "Bacterial small subunit ribosomal RNA", at positions 95 to 334 of the family's 1533-position model. The record is from RNAcentral.